This 325-nucleotide unclassified non-coding RNA is filed under the name Hevea brasiliensis (rubber tree). Lineage: Eukaryota; Viridiplantae; Streptophyta; Magnoliopsida; Malpighiales; Euphorbiaceae. The record is from RNAcentral.
AGCAGGCCAGUAUAAAUUAGCAUUCACCAGAGCAUGAAUUAGAAUAUAAAAGGGCAUGGUUGAGCGGUUAAAAUUCUUGUGCAAGCCCAGGAAUUUGAAGAACCUCAAAGCUGAUUGGAAUCAUCGAGGGACUGCAUUAGGACCUUCUCAAUAUGGUGAGGCUUUAACUUGCUUGAAAUGAAUGUACCGUUCAAUUUGAUUUUCCCGCUUUGCUUUCCGCUUAAAAUGCGUGUGAGGAUGGCUAUGAAUUGCAAGUCUUGGUCUCUUUCGUCAUUAUCUUGAAUUACUGAGGAUCUGGAGUUGCAAAAGUAUUUGGGUUUGGCGU